GAAGCUUUGAUUGGCGACUGGCGAAAAGAGAACUUCCCAACAGUGAUCAUCAAGGAAUUAGACUUUGGCCCUGAAGCCGUCUUGGAUACAGCACGACCAGACAUACUCAGCAUCCAACACCCAAGUAAAGUUGGAUCUGUGUCAGCCAGACAACAAGGUGUGUGUGUCUGUGUCUGUGUGUGUGUGUUUGUGUGUGCGCGUGGAUGCCUGUGAGCCUCUGUGUUUUUGUAUUUGUGUGUGUUUGUGUGUUGUGAGAUGAGAACGCCGCUGGCGAGAUUAGUGGAUUAUAUAAAUUAGUUUAGCGUAUUUGUAAUGCUUGUGUUGAAAAAGAGAUAAGAUGCUGGCUGUGGUGUACAUUGUUCUUA
Molecule: long non-coding RNA, 365 nt
Organism: Micropterus dolomieu (smallmouth bass)
Lineage: Eukaryota; Metazoa; Chordata; Actinopteri; Centrarchiformes; Centrarchidae
Exons: 3
Source: RefSeq, a predicted model, not a curated record